GACGAACGCUGGCGGCGUGCUUAACACAUGCAAGUCGAACGGAAAGGCCCUGCUUUUGUGGGGUGCUCGAGUGGCGAACGGGUGAGUAACACGUGAGUAACCUGCCCUUGACUUUGGGAUAACUUCAGGAAACUGGGGCUAAUACCGGAUAGGAGCUCCUGCUGCAUGGUGGGGGUUGGAAAGUUUCGGCGGUUGGGGAUGGACUCGCGGCUUAUCAGCUUGUUGGUGGGGUAGUGGCUUACCAAGGCUUUGACGGGUAGCCGGCCUGAGAGGGUGACCGGCCACAUUGGGACUGAGAUACGGCCCAGACUACUACGGUAGGCAGCAGUAGGGAAUAUUGCACAAUGGGCGGAAGCCUGAUGCAGCAACGCCGCGUGCGGGAUGACGGCCUUCGGGUUGUAAACCGCUUUCGCCUGUGACGAAGCGUGAGUGACGGUAAUGGGUAAAGAAGCACCGGCUAACUACGUG
Molecule: ribosomal RNA, 468 nt
Filed under: uncultured bacterium
Lineage: Bacteria
Description: partial 16S ribosomal RNA
Rfam family: Bacterial small subunit ribosomal RNA
Source: RNAcentral